Molecule: transfer RNA, 77 nt
Filed under: Candidatus Nitrosopumilus sediminis
Lineage: Archaea; Thermoproteati; Nitrososphaerota; Nitrososphaeria; Nitrosopumilales; Nitrosopumilaceae
Also listed under: 4 other names
Description: tRNA-Tyr (GTA) (tRNA-Tyr-GTA-1-1)
Rfam family: tRNA
About the family: Transfer RNA (tRNA) molecules are approximately 80 nucleotides in length. Their secondary structure includes four short double-helical elements and three loops (D, anti-codon, and T loops).
Source: RNAcentral
CCCGUGGUAGCUCAGCCUGGUAGAGCUUCCGGCUGUAGACCGGGUUGUCGGUGGUUCAAUUCCGCCCCGCGGGACCA